UCCCUGCUCUCCGUAAUGUGAAUUGCAGAAUUCAGUGAAUCAUCGAAUCUUUGAACGCACAUUGCGCCCGCCAGUAUUCUGGCGGGCAUGCCUGUUCGAGCGUCAUUACAACCCUCAGGCCCCCGGGCCUGGCGUUGGGGAUCGGCGGAAGCCCCCUGCGGGCACAACGCCGUCCCCCAAAUACAGUGGCGGUCCCGCCGCAGCUUCCAUUGCGUAGUAGCUAACACCUCGCAACUGGAGAGCGGCGCGGCCACGCCGUAAAACACCCAACUUCUGAAUGUUGACCUCGAAUCAGGUAGGAAUACCCGCUGAACUUAAGC
RNAcentral lists this unclassified non-coding RNA (320 nucleotides) under plant metagenome. Its description in RNAcentral is "partial contains 5.8S ribosomal RNA, internal transcribed spacer 2, and large subunit ribosomal RNA". The stretch from base 1 to 105 matches the Rfam family "5.8S ribosomal RNA", at positions 50 to 154 of the family's 154-position model. The record is from RNAcentral.